RNAcentral lists this ribosomal RNA (429 nucleotides) under bacterium. RNAcentral's name for it is "partial 16S ribosomal RNA". It matches the Rfam family "Bacterial small subunit ribosomal RNA", at positions 355 to 776 of the family's 1533-position model. The record is from RNAcentral.
UAGGGAAUCUUCGGCAAUGGGGGCAACCCUGACCGAGCAACGCCGCGUGAGUGAAGAAGGUUUUCGGAUCGUAAAGCUCUGUUGUAAGAGAAGAACGUGUGUGAGAGUGGAAAGUUCACACAGUGACGGUAACUUACCAGAAAGGGACGGCUAACUACGUGCCAGCAGCCGCGGUAAUACGUAGGUCCCGAGCGUUGUCCGGAUUUAUUGGGCGUAAAGCGAGCGCAGGCGGUUUAAUAAGUCUGAAGUUAAAGGCAGUGGCUUAACCAUUGUUCGCUUUGGAAACUGUUAAACUUGAGUGCAGAAGGGGAGAGUGGAAUUCCAUGUGUAGCGGUGAAAUGCGUAGAUAUAUGGAGGAACACCGGUGGCGUAAGCGGCUCUCUGGUCUGUAACUGACGCUGAGGCUCGAAAGCGUGGGGAGCAAACAGG